This 328-nucleotide long non-coding RNA is filed under the name Musa acuminata (dwarf banana). Its description in RNAcentral is "long non-coding RNA (MACU_LNC006784)". The record is from RNAcentral. Lineage: Eukaryota; Viridiplantae; Streptophyta; Magnoliopsida; Zingiberales; Musaceae.
UCUUGCCUCCCCUGUACAUCUUGUGGGUCUUUCCGUCGAGCUGGGGGAGCUCGAUCUCGGGGGCGGUGGCGGGGUAUGUGACGGGGAUGUCGAACUGGAGAGCGAACUCGUAACGGCGGAGGUUGUGGACGUACCAGCAGGUGCCGGACCAGCGGGUGCCCUCGGGGUUGGCGGCCGAGAUGCGGAACCAGUCGUUGUCGUGGGACUUGUUCAUGGUGGUGUAGGCGAUCAGGGCGCGGUACUCCUCCUUCAGCCGCUGCGUCCACGCCGCCCCGUCUCGCGGGCCCGCCCGCGUCGACAGCAGCGGGAUCUGCGUCAAAGCCGACUU